This 281-nucleotide ribosomal RNA is filed under the name uncultured bacterium. Its description in RNAcentral is "partial 16S ribosomal RNA". It matches the Rfam family "Bacterial small subunit ribosomal RNA", at positions 28 to 313 of the family's 1533-position model. The record is from RNAcentral.
GAUGAACGCUAGCGGCAGGCUUAACACAUGCAAGUCGAGGGGUAUAGUAGCAAUACUAGAGACCGGCGCACGGGUGCGUAACGCGUAUGCAAUCUACCUUUUACAGAGGGAUAGCCCAGAGAAAUUUGGAUUAAUACCUCAUAGUAUAAUUGAAUGGCAUCAUUUAAUUAUUAAAGUCACAACGGUAAAAGAUGAGCAUGCGUCCCAUUAGCUUGUUGGUAAGGUAACGGCUUACCAAGGCUACGAUGGGUAGGGGUCCUGAGAGGGAGACUCCCCCACAC